RNAcentral lists this ribosomal RNA (253 nucleotides) under uncultured bacterium. RNAcentral describes it as "partial 16S ribosomal RNA". It matches the Rfam family "Bacterial small subunit ribosomal RNA", at positions 524 to 776 of the family's 1533-position model. The record is from RNAcentral.
UACGGAGGGGGCUAGCGUUGUUCGGAAUUACUGGGCGUAAAGCGCGCGUAGGCGGCUUUGUACGUUAGAGGUGAAAGCCCGGAGCUCAACUCCAGAACUGCCUUUGAUACUGAAGAUCUUGAGUUCGGGAGAGGUGAGUGGAACUGCGAGUGUAGAGGUGAAAUUCGUAGAUAUUCGCAAGAACACCAGUGGCGAAGGCGGCUCACUGGCCCGAUACUGACGCUGAGGCACGAAAGCGUGGGGAGCAAACAGG